AAUGAACGCUGGCGGCGCGCCUAAUACAUGCAAGUCGAGCGAGAAGACGUAGCAAUACGUUUGUAAAGCGGCGAACGGGUGAGGAAUACAUGGGUAACCUACCCUUGAGUGGGGAAUAACUAGCCGAAAGGUUAGCUAAUACCGCGUACGCUUCCUGGACUUCGGUUCAGGGAGGAAAGCGAUGCCGAGGGUAUCGCGCUCUUGGAUGGGCUCAUGUCCUAUCAGCUUGUUGGGAGGUAACGGCUCACCAAGGCUUCGACGGGUAGCUGGUCUGAGCGGACGAUCAGCCACACUGGCACUGCGACACGGGCCAGACUCCUAC
RNAcentral lists this ribosomal RNA (322 nucleotides) under uncultured bacterium. RNAcentral describes it as "bacterial SSU rRNA". It matches the Rfam family "Bacterial small subunit ribosomal RNA", at positions 29 to 342 of the family's 1533-position model. The record is from RNAcentral.